RNAcentral lists this ribosomal RNA (116 nucleotides) under Eubacteriales Family XIII. Incertae Sedis bacterium. The record is from RNAcentral. Lineage: Bacteria; Bacillati; Bacillota; Clostridia; Peptostreptococcales; Anaerovoracaceae.
GUGGUGGCUAUGGCGGGGAGGAAAUACCUGUUCCCAUCUCGAACACAGUAGUCAAGCUCCCCCGCGCCGAUGAUACUCGGCGGGCGACCGCCCGGAAAAGCAGGUCGCUGCCACAC